UCAGGGACAAGUUAUGUUACAAAGGUGGUGGAUCCAUCAAGAGCAUUGAGCUCAAGUCGCCGGCGAAACCCAAGGAAUCGGAGAAGAAACCCGACAAACCUAAAGAAGCCGAGAAGCCGAAAGAAGCUGAGAAGAAGCCGGAAAAACCCAAAGAAGCUGAGAAGAAGCCGGAAAAACCCAAAGAUCCUGAGAAGAAGCCGGAAAAACCCAAAGAUCCUGCUCCUGAGAAGAAGCCGGAAAAACCCAAAGAACCUGCUCCUGGGAAGAGACCGCCAAAGCCCAAAGACGGUGGUGAGACGAAACCGGAUAUACCUAGAGAGGUGGCGUCGCAGCAGAAUGUUGCGGCACCUUCUCCUUUACCGCCGAUGACGUAUGCAGUUGGGUAUACUUGCUCCGAGGGUUAUUAUAAUGGUUAUGGUGGAGGACCUAGCUAUUAUGGUGGACCACCCCAACAACCGUUCCCAUAUUACGAGACUUACGGUAGGCCUGUUUAUGACAGCUGGGGUGGCGGCGGCGGUGGCUACUACAGGUACGGCGGCCGUACCGGUGAAUGUUUUAGUGAAGAAAACCCUCAAGGUUGCUCGAUCAUGUAAAAAAACCGCGGGAAUUCGUUAUACUAUAAUGGUAAUAAUAAAUUCUCUUGUCUACUGGUGUAUGAAUCUGGGGGAGUCAUUUUGUGGAUUUUUAUUUAUUUCUAGUUUUAUUGAGUUUAUAAAAGUCGGUAAAGAUCAUUAACAAGGUUGGUGGCGUUGGUGGUGGCGGCGACAACGGCGGCGGUAGUGGUGGUGUGCUCCAGGCUUGCAAAAAGUUUGUUUACCAUAGUUUUAAAUUUUAAUAAAUAAAAAUGAUGUAUCUUUUUAUCUGUCAGAGUCUUUUGUUUUUAAUUAUAUGAAGGAAUUCAUUUGACAACAAAAUAAUCAUGGAAGGAACCUUCUCAAAUGUAAACUUAGAUUAUAAUAAUGUAGUAUGCUUAUUAAUUUUACAAUCACCAAGUCUAAAUGAAGUAUUUUUUAUUAUUUUAAUUUUCUAUUUUUGUCUUUUAAUGAGAAUUAAUAAUUUAAUUCUAUUGUUAAUUAUUGUCAUUAUAGGAAAAUGUAGAUUGGAGUGCCUAGAGUUUUAUUUAAGGGUUAAAAGAGGGAUUAUGAACCAAGAUCACCUUUGUUUUUACCCUUGUAAAGUUCAUGACUGCCUUCUUAACGAUUUCACCUCUAAAAUUUGAAAUGCAAAGAGUGUUAUAUUACACCUAACACUUAUCGAUAUUUUAAGUUAGCAUUUUAAUUUAUCAAGUAUUACUCAAUUAGAACUAACUUCAUUUUUCAAAAAUACAAGAGAGCAAGUUUUGAUAAUUAAAACACGACAAUGAACUUUUGAAUUUUUGUAAAGUAGAGGGAAAAUUUCGUAAUUAUACCUUAUCUUUAAGAAGCUUUGCAAAAUGUAUGAUAAUAAUAUAUAUAGAGACAUAGUGGUUCAAAAACAAAAAGCCAAAUCAAUUGGAUAAUAAUGGUACCAAAGCAUCCACGAGACAAUGUCACUAACGGUGGGCGCCUCCCUAUGGUUAUCCGGUCCCCAAACAGGCGGGCGAUGGCGUCAAAAUUACCAAUCUAGCGCUUAUCCUUAUAUAGAGUAGGCAACCUAGCUUAACCUAGACACUCUUAGUUUCCUCCCAUGGUUUCAAAUCUUAAUACACUCCAAACUUUAAUUAUUGAGAUAGAAAUCGAGUUUGAUUUGAAUUUUGAUUAAGUUGAUUUAAUUUUUUUUAAUUGAAUAAUAAUAAAUUUUGAUUUUUAUAUAUAUUGUUAUAAUGCAAUUGAGAAUUGUUUAGUACGAUAAUUUACACUAUAAGAAUGCGAAGAGCUACUGAAAUGGUUGCGAUUUAUAUUGUGAAAGUGUGAAAAGUCAUUGUUCUUGGUGAUUGGAGGAUGUCGAGUUAGUAUAUGUAAAGGAGAGAAUUUUGCUUAAUUUAAGAAUAUUUUUCAAAAGUGCUUUUAAGGAAAAAAAAAUACUUAUGAGAAGAAGUUAAAAUUUACAAUUUAAAAAAAAAAAAGAUUUUUUGGGUCAAUUUUUUAUUUGGAAUAAGCAUUUUUUUUUCUCAAAAAAUUAAGAAUACUUUUGUCCCAAAUUUUUUUUUUAAAAGCAAUACAAAAAUGACCUUAAAUUGGCACAGUAUAUUUAAUCAAUUUUGGUUUGAGCAGGUUCAGCAAUUUUUUUUUAUUAUAUGUUUGAUUUUGUUGGUGUAAAAUAAAUCUUAAUUAUUUGUGUUUCGGUUCUUUUAAAAUGAUAUAAAAGUUUUAUUAUUUAAAAAUAUUUAAUUUAGUGAAAUUUAAUUGAGUAUUGAUAUAAAUAAAUGAUAUUAAAAUAUAUACCAAAUAUUUACAAAUCAAACUGAAAGUUUUGAAAAUAUUUUAUUUCAUAUUUAGAAUUUAAUAAAAUAUUCACCACUGAAGUACCCAAGUUUAAUAUUUAUUUAAAGGGAGUAAUUAAUAUUGAAUUUAUUUAAAUGGAAAAUUGGUGAUAUACUUCAAGACUGGUUUCUAAAUAUAUAUUAUAAAUUUUGAUUUUGAUUCCAUGAUUUUGAUGAAAAAUAUGCAUUAAGUUUGAUAUAUUAAUAUUAAUGGCAAAAAAAUCAUAUUUAAAACAUAAUUUAGAAAACGAGAUUUACUUAGGAAAAUACUUAAAAUUUUUAUAUAUGCUUUGAUGACGGAUUUUUAGUAAAACUUUCUAAAAUUUAAUAUUAUUUUAAAUAAGAAUUAAUUAUAAACAUUUUAAAUAAAUAAGCUUAAAUUCACUUUAAGGUAAGCUUUUAAUUUAUAUAUAUAAGGGAUGGUUUGGUAAUACUUUUGAAAAGUGAUUUUCAAAAGUAUUGUAAAAAAAUAUUUUCGGAAAGUUUAGUUUAAAAUUUGAGUGUUUAACAUUGCUAUCAAAAAAUAUUUUUGAGAAAUAAAAUGUCUAUUUUAGACAUGUUAUUAUUAAAGAAUAAAUAUGUAUUUAAAUAAUAUUUAAAUUAGUUAAUAUUAUUAUAUUUUAGUAAGAAUAUAAAAAAAUUAUUAUAAUUUGUUAAUUUUUUAAUAUAUGAAAUAUAAAUUUUAAAUAUUUUUAAAUAAUAAAUAUUAAUUAUUUAUAAAAUUUAAAGAGAAUAUAUAAACUAUAUUUUAAAUAUUUAAAUAUAAUCAUUAAAUAUUUAUAAUUAAUAUUUUAAAAAAUAUUUUUUAAUUAAUAAUUUUAAUAAAUUUGUACUAAAAGAAAAAUACUAUGUUAUUAUAGUGGUGAAAAAUUAGUAAGUAAAAGUCUUUUCGGAUAGUAAAAAGUUAAAAAUUUUAACUUUUACUUUUUAGAAAAGCCAAAUAUUAUUAAGCAUUUCAGAACAGUAGCUAAGCCUAAGUAUCAGCCUUUCGCUAUCUCAGUACUAUUUUCUAACACUUUUGCAUUUGCUUCUUUCUUUUUCACACCAGAUCUGGGGAUCCAAGCUAUGGCUGAAAAGGUUCCUAAAAUCUCAUCCUUUUUCUCUUCAACAUUUAAAUCCGAUGCCCAUUUCUUUUUCUUUUUUUAAUUUCUUUUAUUGUUUUUCAUGCUCCUCUGUUUCCAAUUCCUCUUUGUCUCUGUUAACCAGAUUCGUUAGCUAAUGCUAAUAAUUCAUGUAAAGUUUUUCUUUUGUAGGUGACGAUAAUGGUGCUGAAGGUCGACCUUCAGUGCAGGAAAUGUUACAAGAAGGUCAAGAAAGUGCUCUGUAAAUUCCCUCGUGAGUUUUCUAUUUUUGACUUUUUUUUUCAUGGAUUUCUGCAUAUUAUUUGUAACAUUUUUAAUUAUUUGUUCAUUGAGUUUAACGUUGAGAAAUGGUGUCUGAGUUUAUUUUUCUUUUUUCUUUUUUUGUGAACAAGAGAAAUACGAGACCAGAUAUACGAUGAAAAGACUAAUACGGUGACCAUCAAGGUGGUAUGCUGUAGCCCGGAGAAGAUCAGGGACAAGUUAUGUUACAAAGGUGGUGGAUCCAUCAAGAGCAUUGAGCUCAAGUCGCCGGCGAAGCCCAAGGAACCGGAGAAGAAACCCGACAAACCUAAAGAAGCCGAGAAGUCGAAAGAAGCUGGGAAGAAACCGCCAAAGCCCAAAGACGGUGGUGAGACGAAACCGGAUAUACCUAGAGAGGUGGCGUCGCAGCAGAAGGUUGCGGCACCUGCUCCUUUACCGCCGAUGACGUAUGCAGUUGGGUAUAAUUGCUCCGAGGGUUAUUAUAAUGGCUAUGGUGGAGGACCUACCUAUUAUGGUGGACCACCCCAACAACCGUUCCCAUGUUACGAGACUUACGGUAGGCCUGUUUAUGACAGCUGGGGCGGCGGCGGCGGAUACUACCGGUACGGCGGCCGUACCGGUGAUUGUGUUAGUGAAGAAAACCCACAAGGUUGCUCGAUC
Molecule: long non-coding RNA, 4404 nt
Filed under: Gossypium barbadense (sea-island cotton)
Lineage: Eukaryota; Viridiplantae; Streptophyta; Magnoliopsida; Malvales; Malvaceae
Description: long non-coding RNA (GBAR_LNC008673)
Source: RNAcentral